RNAcentral lists this ribosomal RNA (253 nucleotides) under uncultured bacterium. Its description in RNAcentral is "partial 16S ribosomal RNA". It matches the Rfam family "Bacterial small subunit ribosomal RNA", at positions 524 to 776 of the family's 1533-position model. The record is from RNAcentral.
UACGUAGGGUGCAAGCGUUAAUCGGAUUUACUGGGCGUAAAGCGUGCGUAGGCGGCUUUUUAAGUCGGAUGUGAAAUCCCUGAGCUUAACUUAGGAAUUGCAUUCGAUACUGGGAAGCUAGAGUAUGGGAGAGGAUGGUAGAAUUCCAGGUGUAGCGGUGAAAUGCGUAGAGAUCUGGAGGAAUACCGAUGGCGAAGGCAGCCAUCUGGCCUAAUACUGACGCUGAGGUACGAAAGCAUGGGGAGCAAACAGG